GGAAUGGAUGUAGCUCAGUGAUAGAGCACCUGCUUUGCAUGCAGAAGAUCCUGGGUUGAAUCCUGGCAUCUCCA
Molecule: non-coding RNA, 74 nt
Organism: Podarcis lilfordi (Lilford's wall lizard)
Lineage: Eukaryota; Metazoa; Chordata; Lepidosauria; Squamata; Lacertidae
Source: the annotation of a GenBank genome assembly